This 207-nucleotide ribosomal RNA is filed under the name Hydrocynus sp. Its description in RNAcentral is "partial 16S ribosomal RNA". It matches the Rfam family "Bacterial large subunit ribosomal RNA", at positions 2369 to 2594 of the family's 2925-position model. The record is from RNAcentral. Lineage: Eukaryota; Metazoa; Chordata; Actinopteri; Characiformes; Alestidae.
GAACUAAGAGAGACAUCUCCAAGCCACAGAACAUCUGACCAUUGAGAUCCGGCCAUAGCCGAUCAACGGACCAAGUUACCCUAGGGAUAACAGCGCAAUCCCCUUCAAGAGUCCAUAUCGACAAGGGGGUUUACGACCUCGAUGUUGGAUCAGGACAUCCUACUGGNGCAGCCGCUAUUAAGGGUUCGUUUGUUCAACGAUUAAAGU